RNAcentral lists this transfer RNA (69 nucleotides) under Rattus norvegicus (Norway rat). It matches the Rfam family "tRNA". Rfam says of the family: Transfer RNA (tRNA) molecules are approximately 80 nucleotides in length. Their secondary structure includes four short double-helical elements and three loops (D, anti-codon, and T loops). Lineage: Eukaryota; Metazoa; Chordata; Mammalia; Rodentia; Muridae. The record is from Rfam by way of RNAcentral.
GGGGAUUUAGCUCAGUGGUAGAGCACUUGCCUAGCAAGCGCAAGGCCCUGGGUUCGUUCCCCAGCUCUG